Molecule: ribosomal RNA, 2443 nt
Filed under: Escherichia coli
Lineage: Bacteria; Pseudomonadati; Pseudomonadota; Gammaproteobacteria; Enterobacterales; Enterobacteriaceae
Description: bacterial LSU rRNA
Rfam family: Bacterial large subunit ribosomal RNA
Source: RNAcentral
UGUGAGCUCGAUGAGUAGGGCGGGACACGUGGUAUCCUGUCUGAAUAUGGGGGGACCAUCCUCCAAGGCUAAAUACUCCUGACUGACCGAUAGUGAACCAGUACCGUGAGGGAAAGGCGAAAAGAACCCCGGCGAGGGGAGUGAAAAAGAACCUGAAACCGUGUACGUACAAGCAGUGGGAGCACGCUUAGGCGUGUGACUGCGUACCUUUUGUAUAAUGGGUCAGCGACUUAUAUUCUGUAGCAAGGUUAACCGAAUAGGGGAGCCGAAGGGAAACCGAGUCUUAACUGGGCGUUAAGUUGCAGGGUAUAGACCCGAAACCCGGUGAUCUAGCCAUGGGCAGGUUGAAGGUUGGGUAACACUAACUGGAGGACCGAACCGACUAAUGUUGAAAAAUUAGCGGAUGACUUGUGGCUGGGGGUGAAAGGCCAAUCAAACCGGGAGAUAGCUGGUUCUCCCCGAAAGCUAUUUAGGUAGCGCCUCGUGAAUUCAUCUCCGGGGGUAGAGCACUGUUUCGGCAAGGGGGUCAUCCCGACUUACCAACCCGAUGCAAACUGCGAAUACCGGAGAAUGUUAUCACGGGAGACACACGGCGGGUGCUAACGUCCGUCGUGAAGAGGGAAACAACCCAGACCGCCAGCUAAGGUCCCAAAGUCAUGGUUAAGUGGGAAACGAUGUGGGAAGGCCCAGACAGCCAGGAUGUUGGCUUAGAAGCAGCCAUCAUUUAAAGAAAGCGUAAUAGCUCACUGGUCGAGUCGGCCUGCGCGGAAGAUGUAACGGGGCUAAACCAUGCACCGAAGCUGCGGCAGCGACGCUUAUGCGUUGUUGGGUAGGGGAGCGUUCUGUAAGCCUGUGAAGGUGUGCUGUGAGGCAUGCUGGAGGUAUCAGAAGUGCGAAUGCUGACAUAAGUAACGAUAAAGCGGGUGAAAAGCCCGCUCGCCGGAAGACCAAGGGUUCCUGUCCAACGUUAAUCGGGGCAGGGUGAGUCGACCCCUAAGGCGAGGCCGAAAGGCGUAGUCGAUGGGAAACAGGUUAAUAUUCCUGUACUUGGUGUUACUGCGAAGGGGGGACGGAGAAGGCUAUGUUGGCCGGGCGACGGUUGUCCCGGUUUAAGCGUGUAGGCUGGUUUUCCAGGCAAAUCCGGAAAAUCAAGGCUGAGGCGUGAUGACGAGGCACUACGGUGCUGAAGCAACAAAUGCCCUGCUUCCAGGAAAAGCCUCUAAGCAUCAGGUAACAUCAAAUCGUACCCCAAACCGACACAGGUGGUCAGGUAGAGAAUACCAAGGCGCUUGAGAGAACUCGGGUGAAGGAACUAGGCAAAAUGGUGCCGUAACUUCGGGAGAAGGCACGCUGAUAUGUAGGUGAAGUCCCUCGCGGAUGGAGCUGAAAUCAGUCGAAGAUACCAGCUGGCUGCAACUGUUUAUUAAAAACACAGCACUGUGCAAACACGAAAGUGGACGUAUACGGUGUGACGCCUGCCCGGUGCCGGAAGGUUAAUUGAUGGGGUCAGCGCAAGCGAAGCUCUUGAUCGAAGCCCCGGUAAACGGCGGCCGUAACUAUAACGGUCCUAAGGUAGCGAAAUUCCUUGUCGGGUAAGUUCCGACCUGCACGAAUGGCGUAAUGAUGGCCAGGCUGUCUCCACCCGAGACUCAGUGAAAUUGAACUCGCUGUGAAGAUGCAGUGUACCCGCGGCAAGACGGAAAGACCCCGUGAACCUUUACUAUAGCUUGACACUGAACAUUGAGCCUUGAUGUGUAGGAUAGGUGGGAGGCUUUGAAGUGUGGACGCCAGUCUGCAUGGAGCCGACCUUGAAAUACCACCCUUUAAUGUUUGAUGUUCUAACGUUGACCCGUAAUCCGGGUUGCGGACAGUGUCUGGUGGGUAGUUUGACUGGGGCGGUCUCCUCCUAAAGAGUAACGGAGGAGCACGAAGGUUGGCUAAUCCUGGUCGGACAUCAGGAGGUUAGUGCAAUGGCAUAAGCCAGCUUGACUGCGAGCGUGACGGCGCGAGCAGGUGCGAAAGCAGGUCAUAGUGAUCCGGUGGUUCUGAAUGGAAGGGCCAUCGCUCAACGGAUAAAAGGUACUCCGGGGAUAACAGGCUGAUACCGCCCAAGAGUUCAUAUCGACGGCGGUGUUUGGCACCUCGAUGUCGGCUCAUCACAUCCUGGGGCUGAAGUAGGUCCCAAGGGUAUGGCUGUUCGCCAUUUAAAGUGGUACGCGAGCUGGGUUUAGAACGUCGUGAGACAGUUCGGUCCCUAUCUGCCGUGGGCGCUGGAGAACUGAGGGGGGCUGCUCCUAGUACGAGAGGACCGGAGUGGACGCAUCACUGGUGUUCGGGUUGUCAUGCCAAUGGCACUGCCCGGUAGCUAAAUGCGGAAGAGAUAAGUGCUGAAAGCAUCUAAGCACGAAACUUGCCCCGAGAUGAGUUCUCCCUGACUCCUUGA